AUACGGGAGGCAGCAGUGGGGAAUCUUGCGCAAUGGGCGAAAGCCUGACGCAGCAACGCCGCGUGCGGGAAGAAGGCCUUCGGGUUGUAAACCGCUUUCAGAAGGAACGAAAAUGACGGUACUUUCAGAAGAAGGUGCGGCCAACUACGUGCCAGCAGCCGCGGUGACACGUAGGCACCAAGCGUUGUCCGGAUUUAUUGGGCGUAAAGAGCUCGUAGGCGGUUCAGUAAGUCAGGUGUGAAAACUUUGGGCUCAACCCAAAGCCUGCAUCUGAUACUGCUGUGACUUGAGUUCGGUAGGGGAGUGGGGAAUUCCUAGUGUAGCGGUGAAAUGCGCAGAUAUUAGGAGGAACACCGGUGGCGAAGGCGCCACUCUGGGCCGAAACUGACGCUGAGGAGCGAAAGCGUGGGUAGCAAACAGGAUUAGAUACCCGCGUAGUCCC
Molecule: ribosomal RNA, 442 nt
Filed under: uncultured bacterium
Lineage: Bacteria
Description: bacterial SSU rRNA
Rfam family: Bacterial small subunit ribosomal RNA
Source: RNAcentral